AGCAAUAAGACUUGCGUUUCAGUUCCAAAGUUCAUGUAAUGUAAAGUUACUUCCUUUCAGACAGAGCUCCUACAGAUGAAUAAAGGGAAUUUGCGGGAUGGUUGAGAAAUCUAACCUUUGUAGCUUCCAACUUGGGUUGUUUAGUAUUAAUUGCUUCCCAGAGUGAACGGCUAAUCAUGUCUUCAGUACAAAAAAUAACCUGCAAUGUAAUUUUUUAAGUCAUAACUGUCUUUCUUGAAGCAGAAAGUCAUGGUUACUAAAACUGUGCAAAUCCUGGAAAAACAUAGUGAUGACAGAAAUUAGAUCAUCUAGUAAACAAGAUAAAAGAUGGGGAAAUAGAUGCAACACAAUUUGAAAACUAUCUGAUAGAUGAAACAUGAUCUGCAGUUCCAAAUAUCAGCAUUAGUUUUAUAUGGUCAUUCACCCUUUAUAAAUCAUAAACUUCUACUGAUUGUUCCAAACAAAAUAUAUGGAACUAAAAUUGCAAAAUGGGUAAUUUAGAUAGAGUGAAUAAGAGUUUGUGUUUUUAGAACUGAGUUGAAAAAUUUUCGGUCUAUUUUUAUCAGCUAGAUUAUUUUUAUUUUACAAAAUACACCAUUGGUUGAAGAGGAGAAAGCUACAAUAGAAUUUACCUCAAGAAAUUCACCAUCCAUUUCCUUCAGAAGCUGUUGUAUCUGACAGAAAGAUAAAACAGGAGGAUCAGAUACAGUAAUUCUGGAAUCAUCUGUUCAAGCGAUGUCAAAUGGUCUCUAAAAAAACUACAGCAAUGAUUUGCAUUCAAGAAGUUGGAAAUGAGACAGCGUUUCGCAGUAAUGAAGAAUAUGAAAAGAAUUUUCCACUACCAAAUCUUGACUUUCGAGCAAAUUAUACAUUUACUUGUAGAACAGAUAGCCUCUGGAAUGACUUGAACAGAGUGAAAUGACGGCAUGUGUGUGCGUAUAUGCGUGUGAACAAUGAAUUACAUACAGAUAAAAUCACUCACUACAGGAGUUUUAGAGAACAUAAUGCCACUUAAAGAAUAUCUAGCAGAACCGGACCGCUAUUCCUUCUUAAGGAAUAGACUAAGGGACAUACUUACGGGGAAACAAAAUGAUAAUGCACUCUAGUGAGCACAGCCGCGGCGUUCAGAUGCAUCAGUGGUUUGAUGCUUCCUUAUAGAAAAAGUACGAAUAGAAUUUUCAGCCACCAUCCCUUGGCUGCAUCUAGAUAAUUUUACAUUUUGUAUCAAAAUUAGGUGCUCAAUGCCUAGGUUACUUGUUCAUUUUAUCGGACAGAGUUGUUUUGUUUUACAUUUUCUCACCAAAAUAAGCAGCAUGACAAGUCAUUUAACUCUCAUGGAAAGACUACAAAGCUAAUAUUAUCAAAUGAAUAUACCCU
This 1377-nucleotide long non-coding RNA is filed under the name Olea europaea (common olive). Its description in RNAcentral is "long non-coding RNA (OEUR_LNC012415)". Lineage: Eukaryota; Viridiplantae; Streptophyta; Magnoliopsida; Lamiales; Oleaceae. The record is from RNAcentral.